Molecule: ribosomal RNA, 206 nt
Filed under: uncultured bacterium
Lineage: Bacteria
Description: partial 16S ribosomal RNA
Rfam family: Bacterial small subunit ribosomal RNA
Source: RNAcentral
UACGGAGGGGGCUAGCGUUGUUCGGAAUUACUGGGCGUAAAGCGCGCGUAGGCGGACCUGCAAGUCGGGGGUGAAAGCCCGAGGCUCAACCUCGGAACUGCCUUCGAUACUGCGGGUCUCGAGUCCGGGAGAGGUGAGUGGAAUUCCUAGUGUAGAGGUGAAAUUCGUAGAUAUUAGGAAGAACACCAGUGGCGAAGGCGGCUGCA